RNAcentral lists this ribosomal RNA (301 nucleotides) under uncultured bacterium. RNAcentral describes it as "partial 16S ribosomal RNA". It matches the Rfam family "Bacterial small subunit ribosomal RNA", at positions 509 to 807 of the family's 1533-position model. The record is from RNAcentral.
CAGCCGCCGCGGGAAUACGGAGGGUGCAAGCGUUAAUCGGAAUUACUGGGCGUAAAGCGCACGCAGGCGGUCUGACAAGUCAGAUGUGAAAUCCCCGGGCUUAACCUGGGAACUGCAUUUGAAACUGUCAGGCUGGAGUCUUGUAGAGGGGGGUGGAAUUCCAGGUGUAGCGGUGAAAUGCGUAGAGAUCUGGAGGAAUACCGGUGGCGAAGGCGGCUCCCUGGACAAAGACUGACGCUCAGGUGCGAAAGCGUGGGGAGCAAACAGGAUUAGAUACCCGGGUAGUCCCUGUCUCUUAUAC